This 1295-nucleotide long non-coding RNA is filed under the name Phoenix dactylifera (date palm). RNAcentral's name for it is "long non-coding RNA (PDAC_LNC011480)". The record is from RNAcentral. Lineage: Eukaryota; Viridiplantae; Streptophyta; Magnoliopsida; Arecales; Arecaceae.
GCUUAGAGUAUUUGGUGUUUUGACACCGGUUGGGAAAGAGUGAAGUGAGCUUUGAGAGUUCAUGUUGUAAGAAAAAGAAAGGAAAAGAAAAGAUUGAAGGAAAGGGUAGCUAGUCCUCUUCAUCCUAGUUCUCUCCCUCUCUCUCGGCCACCUGUUGCAUCCCUGCGAGCUAGCACUCCCCGGGACGCCGGUUGAUCCAGAGGCCUCGCGUGGAUUACUUGUAGAGGCCGGACGUUUGUGCGGUUGCGGAGCAGCAAGCUAAAACCAACCUGCUGAAAGGUUAGUGUUCUGUUUUCAGUUUUUGGAGUUGAAAUUUGAUCUCAAUUCAAGAACACAUACGAUGUGAUCCAUGCAUGAAUAUUUCUAUCACAUAUCCUGUGGAUUCAUCUGGAAAUUUUGUAGGAUUAGAUCAGAUCCAAAGUUUGCAAUAGCCUGUUUUGAACAGCCCUGUUUUAUUCCGCUAUAAAUUAUUUUCAAAUUGCAUACUUUCAUCUUAAUCGGUGAAUCCUCGGCGCAUACAAUGCUCGAAUUCCCUUCACGGUUGAUGAAAAGAAUGAAAUGCACAAAACAAACAAUUAGGGUAUCAUAAAUACAAAGAAUUUAUAAUGGUUUAGUUCCUAACCUAGCACCUACAUCCACUUCCCAAGCUUCCUCCUUAAAAAUUUUCAUCCACUAAUCAACCACAAAUGAUUACAAAUGUCGGAUACCACCAACCAAGAACCCUUGCUUAACCCAAACUUGUCAAUCAUUUUCAAGGCUCGAGCAAGAUACUUCGUUUCAAGGUACGGAUCACACCUAAAACUUGUUACCCACAAAUAUAAAGUGAAACAAUGAUUGAAUAAUAAGUAUAAUAAAUUCUCAUUAAUAGGAAGAAAUAAAACCAAUAAAGCCCUUUUUGAUUUGCUGAGAGAUGUUGUCUUUUAUAUGCACUUCAAAUAGAGAUCUUCAAUAGUCUUGAAGUGGUGGUUGUACUUGUAUUGAAUGCUUUUCAAUGAAUGAGGCCAUUUUUCUUUCAGUAUACUGAAUCUCUUAAUACUUGGCUUUUUUUUUAGCUUUUGGAGGCCCUUUUAUAAAGAAGAGAUGCUAAAGAAAAGACCAUUGGAGAGUAGCUGGAAUCCAUUUAAUGUCAUCUGUUCACACUGAAAAACUAGCUAUUAUAGGCUUGACGGAAUAGAGGAGUCGACCCUAGGGUCGACUCUUGAAGGAACCAAAAAUUUAUCUCUCCGUCUUUUGCCUAUGGCACAUCAAGGGUGUUGACCCUAAAGGUUUGAUUUUGAUAAUGCAAAAUAUUUAAG